Molecule: ribosomal RNA, 977 nt
Filed under: Anthracocystis cenchri
Lineage: Eukaryota; Fungi; Basidiomycota; Ustilaginomycetes; Ustilaginales; Ustilaginaceae
Description: eukaryotic LSU rRNA
Rfam family: Eukaryotic large subunit ribosomal RNA (bases 763-977)
Source: RNAcentral
CAGCAAUGGCACCCUGACGGCUCAAACUCUUACAAACUUGGUCAUUUAGAGGAAGUAAAAGUCGUAACAAGGUAUCUGUAGGUGAACCUGCAGAUGGAUCAUUUCGAUGAAAACCUUUUUUUCUGAGGUGUGGCUCGCACCUGUCUAACUAAACUUGAGCUACCUUUUUUCAACACGGUUGCAUCGGUUGAGUGUCAAAAGAACGCGAAAGUGUUUUUUUGGCCUCGACACUUUACACAAAAACACUUUUGAUUUACUUAGGAUUUGAAUGACAAUUUAUGACUGGUAAUUCGGUCGUUUAAAUUUAAAAAACAACUUUUGGCAACGGAUCUCUUGGUUCUCCCAUCGAUGAAGAACGCAGCGAAUUGCGAUAAGUAAUGUGAAUUGCAGAAGUGAAUCAUCGAAUCUUUGAACGCACCUUGCGCUCCCUGCAGAUCUAAUCUGGGGAGCAUGCCUGUUUGAGGGCCGCGAAUUGUUUCGAACCGACUCUUUUUUUAAUUAAAAAGGGACGGAUCGGUAUUGAGGGUUUUUUGCCAUUUACCGUGGCUCCCUCGAAAUACAUUAGCGCAUCCAUUUGAUAGGCAAGAACGGACGAAAGCUCAUUUUUUCGCCCUCUCUUCCCUGCCGGGUUUUGAUAAUAUCGGGACUUCGGAGGCGAGGAAAGGGCAAGAGCUGGACGCAACGUUUUUGCUGUUUGGCGUGCUUCUGAACCCCGCCCAUGCCUUUCUUUCGAGAGGGGAAGGGAAAUUAAAUAAUUCAAAUCGGCCUCAGAUUGGUAGGACUACCCGCUGAACUUAAGCAUAUCAAUAAGCGGAGGAAAAGAAACUAACAAGGAUUCCCCUAGUAACGGCGAGUGAAGAGGGAAGAGCCCAAGAUUGAAAGCUGGCGUCUUCGGCGUCCGCAUUGUAAUCUCAAGAAGUGUUUUCCGCUUCGGACCAUGCCUAAGUCCCUUGGAAAAGGGCAUCAUAGAGGGUGAU